UUAGAGUUUGAUCCUGGCUCAGGACGAACGCUGGCGGCGUGCUUAACACAUGCAAGUCGAGCGGUAAGGCCCCUUCGGGGGUACACGAGCGGCGAACGGGUGAGUAACACGUGAGCAACCUACCCUCAACUUCGGGAUAAGCCUCGGAGACGGGGUCUAAUACCGGAUAUCAUCUUCUGCUUCAUGGCGGAGGGUUGAAAGUUCUGGCGGUUGGGGAUGGGCUCGCGGCCUAUCAGCUUGUUGGUGGGGUAAUGGCCUACCAAGGCUUCGACGGGUAGCCGGCCUGAGAGGGCGACCGGCCACACUGGGACUGAGACACGGCCCAGACUCCUACGGGAGGCAGCAGUGGGGAAUAUUGCGCAAUGGACGAAAGUCUGACGCAGCAACGCCGCGUGAGGGAUGACGGCCUUCGGGUUGUAAACCUCUUUCAGCAGGGACGAAGCGAGAGUGACGGUACCUGCAGAAGAAGGACCGGCCAACUACGUGCCAGCAGCCGCGGUAAUACGUAGGGUCCGAGCGUUGUCCGGAAUUAUUGGGCGUAAAGGGCUCGUAGGCGGUCCGUCGCGUCGGGAGUGAAAACUCGGAGCUUAACUCCGAGCCUGCUUCCGAUACGGGCAGACUAGAGGUAGGCAGGGGAGAGCGGAACACCUGGUGUAGCGGUGGAAUGCGCAGAUAUCAGGUAGAACACCGGUGGCGAAGGCGGCUCUCUGGGCCUUACCUGACGCUGAGGAGCGAAAGCGUGGGUAGCGAACAGGAUUAGAUACCCUGGUAGUCCACGCCGUAAACGUUGGGCGCUAGGUGUGGGGGACAUUCCACGUCCUCCGUGCCGCAGCUAACGCAUUAAGCGCCCCGCCUGGGGAGUACGGCCGCAA
This 872-nucleotide ribosomal RNA is filed under the name uncultured bacterium. RNAcentral's name for it is "bacterial SSU rRNA". It matches the Rfam family "Bacterial small subunit ribosomal RNA", at positions 1 to 891 of the family's 1533-position model. The record is from RNAcentral.